CUGAGCAUAACUGGUUCCUUUCUUCGUGGGGGACUGGUGCCCAGUGGCUGGAGAUAGCCACUUCCUUGUUAGUGUUUACAGCCUGUUGCUUGUGUACAUUACCCUAUGGGACCUUUAGAGACACUU
This 126-nucleotide small nucleolar RNA is filed under the name Nannospalax galili (Upper Galilee mountains blind mole rat). RNAcentral's name for it is "Small nucleolar RNA SNORA70 (ENSNGAG00000002564.1)". It matches the Rfam family "Small nucleolar RNA SNORA70". Rfam says of the family: snoRNA U70 seems to be exclusive to mammals and is a member of the H/ACA class of snoRNA which contain H (ANANNA) and ACA box motifs. H/ACA box snoRNAs are involved in the conversion of uridines to pseudouridines (5-ribosyluracil) a constituent of structural RNAs (transfer, ribosomal, small nuclear, and small nucleolar). Lineage: Eukaryota; Metazoa; Chordata; Mammalia; Rodentia; Spalacidae. The record is from RNAcentral.